AGUCACUGACAUUAGAUACCCUGUAGUCCAGGGUGUAAACGCUGCAGACUUGGUGUUGGAGGCCCUUUGGGGCAUUCAGUGCCGGAGAGAAGUUGUUAAGUCUGCUACUUGGAGAGUACGUCCGCAAGGAUGAAACUUAAAGGAAUUGGCGGGGAGCACCACAACGGGUGGAGCCUGCGGUUUAAUUGGACUCAACGCCGGAAAUCUCACCGGAUAGGACAGACAUAUGAUAGUCGGGCUGAAGACUCUACUUGAUGAUCUG
RNAcentral lists this ribosomal RNA (262 nucleotides) under uncultured archaeon. RNAcentral's name for it is "partial 16S ribosomal RNA". It matches the Rfam family "Archaeal small subunit ribosomal RNA", at positions 718 to 982 of the family's 1478-position model. The record is from RNAcentral.